RNAcentral lists this ribosomal RNA (1221 nucleotides) under Salmonella enterica subsp. enterica serovar Typhimurium. RNAcentral's name for it is "partial 23S ribosomal RNA". It matches the Rfam family "Bacterial large subunit ribosomal RNA", at positions 502 to 1637 of the family's 2925-position model. Lineage: Bacteria; Pseudomonadati; Pseudomonadota; Gammaproteobacteria; Enterobacterales; Enterobacteriaceae. The record is from RNAcentral.
CGUGAGGGAAAGGCGAAAAGAACCCCGGCGAGGGGAGUGAAAAAGAACCUGAAACCGUGUACGUACAAGCAGUGGGAGCACAGGUUUACCUGUGUGACUGCGUACCUUUUGUAUAAUGGGUCAGCGACUUAUAUUCUGUAGCAAGGUUAACCGUAUAGGGGAGCCGUAGGGAAACCGAGUCUUAACCGGGCGUUAAGUUGCAGGGUAUAGACCCGAAACCCGGUGAUCUAGCCAUGGGCAGGUUGAAGGUUGGGUAACACUAACUGGAGGACCGAACCGACUAAUGUUGAAAAAUUAGCGGAUGACCUGUGGCUGGGGGUGAAAGGCCAAUCAAACCGGGAGAUAGCUGGUUCUCCCCGAAAGCUAUUUAGGUAGCGCCUCGUGAAUUCAUCUCCGGGGGUAGAGCACUGUUUCGGCUAGGGGGCCAUCCCGGCUUACCAACCCGAUGCAAACUGCGAAUACCGGAGAAUGUUAUCACGGGAGACACACGGCGGGUGCUAACGUCCGUCGUGAAGAGGGAAACAACCCAGACCGCCAGCUAAGGUCCCAAAGUCAUGGUUAAGUGGGAAACGAUGUGGGAAGGCCCAGACAGCCAGGAUGUUGGCUUAGAAGCAGCCAUCAUUUAAAGAAAGCGUAAUAGCUCACUGGUCGAGUCGGCCUGCGCGGAAGAUGUAACGGGGCUAAACCAUGCACCGAAGCUGCGGCAGCGAACGUAUCACCCAAGACAACUUUACGGAGUUGACGAUUGACGGAGCGAAGCGACGUCAAAGCGUUCAUUAAAGUCGAGUUGGCUUAGGGAUACGUUCGUUGGGUAGGGGAGCGUUCUGUAAGCCUGUGAAGGUGUGUCGUGAGGCAUGCUGGAGGUAUCAGAAGUGCGAAUGCUGACAUAAGUAACGAUAAAGCGGGUGAAAAGCCCGCUCGCCGGAAGACCAAGGGUUCCUGUCCAACGUUAAUCGGGGCAGGGUGAGUCGACCCCUAAGGCGAGGCCGAAAGGCGUAGUCGAUGGGAAACGGGUUAAUAUUCCCGUACUUGGUGUUACUGCGAAGGGGGGACGGAGAAGGCUAUGUUGGCCGGGCGACGGUUGUCCCGGUUUAAGCGUGUAGGUGUGUGUUCCAGGUAAAUCCGGUUCACUUUAACACUGAGGCGUGACGACGAGGCACUACGGUGCUGAAGCAACAAAUGCCCUGCUUCCAGGAAAAGCCUCUAAGCAUCAGGUAACAC